GCCAUUUAAAAAAAAAUUAAUAUUACACAAGCCUCUGUUGAUCCUAUUAUUAUACAGAAAUUUCAUUUGGACCCACAAGUUCAUGCACAUUAUUCAACUCCAACCUUCAAGCUCCAGUGGGGUCCAUUCCAUCACUUUCUCCAGCCACUCGUCACCGAACUGAAUCCCAUCACAGCAAUGCUCCUCCUCCUCCACCACUUCACUAUCGCACCCUUUCUCCUCCACAUCUCUCAACUCAACGCUCUCGUCGGUUCCGUUUCCGAAGGCGCCUCCGACGAGCUCCACUCCGGCCAUCACUGAGGAUGCAGAGUUUGAGACUGAAGCCCCGCAGCUCUCACUCUUCCCACUGUUAACAAAAGAUGGAGCUGACAACGGAGGUGGAGGUGGCAAAGGUGAUCCUGAGAGAAUAGUCUCCGACGAUGGCGAGGCGGUUGUCUCAGUGCAUGUUGAUGAUGGGCUUGUAAAUGUAAUCUCUCUGUAUAACUCUUGCAUUACCUCUUCUAUCAUCUCUUCUUUAAUAGGACACUCCGGAGAGAGGUCGGCUUCCGAGUCAGGUUCCAAUAAAAACUCCGGCAAAAUCCUUGCAAUGGUGUCAUUCGCCGGAGACAUUGAAGAUC
Molecule: unclassified non-coding RNA, 617 nt
Filed under: Hevea brasiliensis (rubber tree)
Lineage: Eukaryota; Viridiplantae; Streptophyta; Magnoliopsida; Malpighiales; Euphorbiaceae
Source: RNAcentral